RNAcentral lists this ribosomal RNA (253 nucleotides) under uncultured bacterium. RNAcentral describes it as "partial 16S ribosomal RNA". It matches the Rfam family "Bacterial small subunit ribosomal RNA", at positions 524 to 776 of the family's 1533-position model. The record is from RNAcentral.
UACGUAGGGGGCAAGCGUUGUCCGGAAUCAUUGGGCGUAAAGAGCGCGUAGGCGGCCUGCUAAGUCGAACGUGAAAUCCCUCGGCUCAACCGAGGAACUGCGUCCGAUACUGAAAGGCUUGAAUCCGGGAGAGGGAUGUGGAAUUCCAGGUGUAGCGGUGAAAUGCGUAGAUAUCUGGAGGAACACCGGUGGCGAAGGCGGCAUCCUGGACCGGCAUUGACGCUGAGGCGCGAAAGCCAGGGGAGUAAACGGG